CAUAAUAUAAUGCUACUUUAAAAACAUGUUUUGCUUUAAAAGCACGAAAGAAAUCCUCAAAAGCAGUGUACUUUCUGGGGUAGCCUUUUGUGUAGUGUCUUCUUUGGAACUGUAGAAUGUUGUUGCAUAUUUGUUUUCAUAGUGCAUGUAUGUUAUUGUAUGUUUUUGAAGUUUAUCAUCUCUAAAUUUCAAUACGUACAACUUCAAUGCUACAGAAUUUUUCAAUCUUGUUUUUGCGAGCGAACAUGAAAAUAACAUCAGGUAGAAAUCUACGCCAGUGUGUUAUAUCCAUCUGUUUAGGUAUCUACAACAGCAUUGUGUGAGAAAGGGAAAAGAGCCCUGUCCUUGAAGUUUUAUCUCACCAGAAGUACAGCGUUGCCUGUUGAUGAUUUCUCCAGUUCAGCUUGGAGGACGUGAUCUUUAACAAGAAUCCUCUGAGAGCUAAUCAGUGUCAGAGCUGCUGUUGGGAUUAGUGAUGAGAAGUUGCUGUGAGCUUCUUGGCAACUCUUGUGCAACCCUGGAUUGCUUGUUGUCAACAGAAAGAGAGAUUUCUGCCUCCUUCACUACACCUGGUGAUGAACUGAAGCCCAUUCGAGCAGAUCAUCAUGAAACUGUGCUGGAACAGAUUUGGGGCUCUGAAUUUGGAACAGUUUUUGGUUAUAUGCUUCCUGAAACUUGGAGAAUACCUGCAAUAAAUAGGAUUGGCCAUGAGAAUUUGUAACAUUCCUAUGGAAAUACAGUGAUGGGGCCGCUGAGAAGUUACCCUCUUUUGUACAGGUCUGUAAACUCUGCCACAUUCUGACUAUUUCAGCAUGUGGAUUCCUGUGCUGUUUUGUUAUCUUUCUUUUUUUUUU
Molecule: long non-coding RNA, 854 nt
Filed under: Coturnix japonica (Japanese quail)
Lineage: Eukaryota; Metazoa; Chordata; Aves; Galliformes; Phasianidae
Description: lncRNA (ENSCJPG00005019717.1)
Source: RNAcentral